RNAcentral lists this ribosomal RNA (253 nucleotides) under uncultured bacterium. RNAcentral describes it as "partial 16S ribosomal RNA". It matches the Rfam family "Bacterial small subunit ribosomal RNA", at positions 524 to 776 of the family's 1533-position model. The record is from RNAcentral.
UACGUAGGUGGCGAGCGUUGUCCGGAUUUACUGGGCGUAAAGGGAGCGUAGGCGGACUUUUAAGUGAGAUGUGAAAUACUCGGGCUCAACUUGAGUGCUGCAUUUCAAACUGGAAGUCCAGAGUGCAGGAGAGGAGAAUGGAAUUCCUAGUGUAGCGGUGAAAUGCGUAGAGAUUAGGAAGAACCCCAGUGGCGAAGGCGAUUCUCUGGACUGUAACUGACGCUGAGGCUCGAAAGCGUGGGGAGCAAACAGG